GAUGAACGCUGGCGGCGUGCCUAAUACAUGCAAGUAGAACGCUGAAGGAAGGAGCUUGCUCUUUCCGGAUGAGUUGCGAACGGGUGAGUAACGCGUAGGUAACCUGCCUGGUAGCGGGGGAUAACUAUUGGAAACGAUAGCUAAUACCGCAUAACAGUAGAUGUUGCAUGAUAUCUACUUAAAAGGUGCAAUUGCACCACUACCAGAUGGACCUGCGUUGUAUUAGCUAGUUGGUGAGGUAACGGCUCACCAAGGCGACGAUACAUAGCCGACCUGAGAGGGUGAUCGGCCAAACUGGGACUGAGACACGGCCCAGACUACUACGGGAGGCAGCAGUAGGGUAUCUUCGGCAAUGGACGGAAGUCUGACCGAGCAACGCCGCGUGAGUGAAGAAGGGUGUCGGAUCGUAAAGCUCUGUUGUAAGAGAAGAACGAGUGUGAGAGUGGAAAGUUCACACUGUGACGGUAUCUGACCAGAAAGGGACGGCUAACUACGUG
RNAcentral lists this ribosomal RNA (497 nucleotides) under uncultured bacterium. RNAcentral describes it as "partial 16S ribosomal RNA". It matches the Rfam family "Bacterial small subunit ribosomal RNA", at positions 28 to 507 of the family's 1533-position model. The record is from RNAcentral.